Molecule: long non-coding RNA, 1226 nt
Organism: Lagopus muta (rock ptarmigan)
Lineage: Eukaryota; Metazoa; Chordata; Aves; Galliformes; Phasianidae
Exons: 3
Source: RefSeq, a predicted model, not a curated record
GUUGCCGGGCCGGGCGGUGAUUUUCUCUCACCGCUUGGGCGAACUGGGAAUCGUUGUAGGGGGGCUGCCGGGGCGCUGGGAGUUUGUGUUUGUGCGAAAAACGCGUUUAUCCUGCAAAAUGCGGGAUUUCAAGGACGCCGACUGGCUGUGGCAACUAUUAAGGAGGACGCUGUCACUUGCAAUGUUUUGUUGUUAAUGUCACGUCAGGGAUUUGAGGUUUCAUGGAAUCAUGAAGGCUGGAAAAGACCUCUAAGAUUGCCUACUCCAACCGUCAGCACAUCUGCACCGUAAACACUGACCAUGUCCUUCGGUGCCAGUUUGCAUAGUGCUGUAGGAUAAGAUGAGAGGAAACUUCUGCUUUCAACCUUUGGUAACCAUAUGGAAAUGGCUUUGCCCAUUAAUGCACUGCUUCCACUGGACCUUGAAUAUUAGCCCAGUAUUAGUGAAGAUUCCAAGUCAUACAGCAAGGCACUGCUUCCUGCACGGAUCCUGGGCCUGUGGAUUUGCAACGACCCCUUCGGACCAGUGAAAUGGCACGGCUGGGACUGGGGCUGCCCGAGGAAUUUCCUCCUCUCCUCCUCCAAGCUCUAUCUUGACAGCUGAGAGCAGCCAGAACAUUCCUGCCAGCACACCCCAAACGUGCACAUCUGGAGAGUGUAAGCUCUGCUUUCCUUGUGAAACAUCCUCAGCUCAGGAAUUUACUUCUCCCAGCGGCCUAGCAGAGCCGAGGUCUACUGACCUUUGGGGCACGAUGUAAGGCCCAUCUGUUUGCUCAGAGUGUGCCUGAGGGUCUGGCAGUGAGGCUUAUGGUUAACUUGUCCCCUGGGAGUCUGCAAGAACAGUGGCCAGCACGCUAUGUAUCUGUUGGUUUUUUUUUAAACCAUCUCUAUGCAUGCAGGCUGUCUGCAAGUUAACAUUCACAGGGAAAAUAAACAAAAUAAUUUUACUUCACAGGCAUUUUAUAGUAAAUAGAUUUAUUGAAAGGACCCCCUCCGAUUCUUUACAUGUGACUAAGAGUGUGAACCCUCCUCCGCUGCUCUUCUUUGGUCCCAGAAAGAAAGCACAUCACAGCCACUGCCAUAACAACAAACUGGGAUAGCAUGUUCAGGAUUAAAUCAGCACUGAAUCAUAAAACAGAAAGUCCUAAUUAAAACUUUAAAAACUUCAGAGUAAGAAAGAAAUGCAUUUCUUCCCUCUUGGUUUUUUUUUUUUUUUUUUUUUUUUUU